Molecule: ribosomal RNA, 253 nt
Filed under: uncultured bacterium
Lineage: Bacteria
Description: partial 16S ribosomal RNA
Rfam family: Bacterial small subunit ribosomal RNA
Source: RNAcentral
UACGGAGGGUGCAAGCGUUGUUCGGAAUUACUGGGCGUAAAGGGCGCGUAGGCGGCGCAUUAAGUCAGAUGUGAAAGCCCACGGCUUAACCGUGGAAGGGCAUCUGAAACUGGUGAGCUUGAGUACUGGAGGGGGAAGUGGAAUUCCCGGUGUAGAGGUGAAAUUCGUAGAUAUCGGGAGGAAUACCGGUGGCGAAGGCGACUUCCUGGACAGAUACUGACGCUGAGGCGCGAAAGCGUGGGGAGCAAACAGG